This 72-nucleotide transfer RNA is filed under the name Saccharomyces cerevisiae (brewer's yeast). RNAcentral describes it as "A-SITE TRNA OF 70S RIBOSOME from Saccharomyces cerevisiae (PDB 486D, chain C)". It matches the Rfam family "tRNA". Rfam says of the family: Transfer RNA (tRNA) molecules are approximately 80 nucleotides in length. Lineage: Eukaryota; Fungi; Ascomycota; Saccharomycetes; Saccharomycetales; Saccharomycetaceae. The record is from RNAcentral.
GCGGAUUUAGCUCAGUUGGGAGAGCGCCCGCUUGUCGCGUGGGAGGUCCUGUGUUCGAUCCACAGAAUUCGC